RNAcentral lists this ribosomal RNA (254 nucleotides) under uncultured bacterium. Its description in RNAcentral is "partial 16S ribosomal RNA". It matches the Rfam family "Bacterial small subunit ribosomal RNA", at positions 524 to 776 of the family's 1533-position model. The record is from RNAcentral.
UACGUAGGGUGCAAGCGUUGUCCGGAAUUAUUGGGCGUAAAGAGCUCGUAGGCGGUCUGUCGCGUCGGUCGUGAAAACUUGGGGCUUAACCCUGAGCUUGCGGUCGAUACGGGCAUGACUGGAGUUCGGCAGGGGAGACUGGAAUUCCUGGUGUAGCGGUGAAAUGCGCAGAUAUCAGGAGGAACACCGGUGGCGAAGGCGGGUCUCUGGGCAGUAACUGACGCUGAGGAACGAAAGCGUGGGUAGCGAACAGG